GACGAACGCUGGCGGCGUGCUUAACACAUGCAAGUCGAACGGAAAGGCCCUGCUUUUGUGGGGUGCUCGAGUGGCGAACGGGUGAGUAACACGUGAGUAACCUGCCCUUGACUUUGGGAUAACUUCAGGAAACUGGGGCUAAUACCGGAUAGGAGCUCCUGCUGCAUGGUGGGGGUUGGAAAGGUUCGGCGGUUGGGGAUGGACUCGCGGCUUAUCCGCUUGUUGGUGGGGUAGUGGCUGACCAAGGCUUUGACGGGUAGCCGGCCUGAGAGGGUGACCGGCCACAUUGGGACUGGGAUACGGAGCAGACUCCUACGGGAGGCAGCAGUGGGGAAUAUUGCACAAUGGGCGGAAGCCUGAUGCAGCAACGCGGCGGGCGGGAUGACGGCCUUGGGGUUGUAAACCGCUUUCGCCUGUGACGAAGCGUGAGUGACGGUAAUGGGUAAAGAAGCACCGGCUAACUAC
RNAcentral lists this ribosomal RNA (465 nucleotides) under uncultured bacterium. RNAcentral describes it as "partial 16S ribosomal RNA". It matches the Rfam family "Bacterial small subunit ribosomal RNA", at positions 28 to 504 of the family's 1533-position model. The record is from RNAcentral.